RNAcentral lists this ribosomal RNA (467 nucleotides) under uncultured bacterium. RNAcentral's name for it is "partial 16S ribosomal RNA". It matches the Rfam family "Bacterial small subunit ribosomal RNA", at positions 28 to 507 of the family's 1533-position model. The record is from RNAcentral.
GACGAACGCUGGCGGCGUGCUUAACACAUGCAAGUCGAACGAUGACGACCGAGCUUGCUCGGUCUGAUUAGUGGCGAACGGGUGAGUAACACGUGAGCAACCUGCCCUUCACUCUGGGAUAACCUCGGGAAAUCGGGGCUAAUACCGUAUAUGAGCUCCUGUCGCAUGGCGGGUGUUGGAAAGUUUUUCGGUGAAGGAUGGGCUCGCGGCCUAUCAGUUUGUUGGUGAGGUAGUGGCUCACCAAGGCGAUGACGGGUAGCCGGCCUGAGAGGGCGACCGGCCACACUGGGACUGAGACACGGCCCAGACUCCUACGGGAGGCAGCAGUGGGGAAUAUUGCACAAUGGGCGAAAGCCUGAUGCAGCGACGCCGCGUGAGGGAUGACGGCCUUCGGGUUGUAAACCUCUUUCAGCAGGGAAGAAGCGAAAGUGACGGUACCUGCAGAAGAAGCGCCGGCUAACUACGUG